CAUGUUAGUCGAGCGGUAGCACAGAGAGCUUGCUCUCGGGUGACGAGCGGCGGACGGGUGAGUAAUGUCUGGGAAACUGCCUGAUGGAGGGGGAUAACUACUGGAAACGGUAGCUAAUACCGCAUAACGUCGCAAGACCAAAGUGGGGGACCUUCGGGCCUCAUGCCAUCAGAUGUGCCCAGAUGGGAUUAGCUGGUAGGUGGGGUAACGGCUCACCUAGGCGACGAUCCCUAGCUGGUCUGAGAGGAUGACCAGCCACACUGGAACUGAGACACGGUCCAGACUCCUACGGGAGGCAGCAGUGGGGAAUAUUGCACAAUGGGCGCAAGCCUGAUGCAGCCAUGCCGCGUGUGUGAAGAAGGCCUUCGGGUUGUAAAGCACUUUCAGCGGGGAGGAAGGCGGUGAGGUUAAUAACCUCAUCGAUUGACGUUACCCGCAGAAGAAGCACCGGCUAACUCCGUGCCAGCAGCCGCGGUAAUACGGAGGGUGCAAGCGUUAAUCGGAAUUACUGGGCGUAAAGCGCACGCAGGCGGUCUGUCAAGUCGGAUGUGAAAUCCCCGGGCUCAACCUGGGAACUGCAUUCGAAACUGGCAGGCUAGAGUCUUGUAGAGGGGGGUAGAAUUCCAGGUGUAGCGGUGAAAUGCGUAGAGAUCUGGAGGAAUACCGGUGGCGAAGGCGGCCCCCUGGACAAAGACUGACGCUCAGGUGCGAAAGCGUGGGGAGCAAACAGGAUUAGAUACCCUGGUAGUCCACGCUGUAAACGAUGUCGAUUUGGAGGUUGUGCCCUUGAGGCGUGGCUUCCGGAGCUAACGCGUUAAAUCGACCGCCUGGGGAGUACGGCCGCAAGGUUAAAACUCAAAUGAAUUGACGGGGGCCCGCACAAGCGGUGGAGCAUGUGGUUUAAUUCGAUGCAACGCGAAGAACCUUACCUGGUCUUGACAUCCACAGAACUUUCCAGAGAUGGAUUGGUGCCUUCGGGAACUGUGAGACAGGUGCUGCAUGGCUGUCGUCAGCUCGUGUUGUGAAAUGUUGGGUUAAGUCCCGCAACGAGCGCAACCCUUAUCCUUUGUUGCCAGCGGUUAGGCCGGGAACUCAAAGGAGACUGCCAGUGAUAAACUGGAGGAAGGUGGGGAUGACGUCAAGUCAUCAUGGCCCUUACGACCAGGGCUACACACGUGCUACAAUGGCAUAUACAAAGAGAAGCGACCUCGCGAGAGCAAGCGGACCUCAUAAAGUAUGUCGUAGUCCGGAUUGGAGUCUGCAACUCGACUCCAUGAAGUCGGAAUCGCUAGUAAUCGUAGAUCAGAAUGCUACGGUGAAUACGUUCCCGGGCCUUGUACACACCGCCCGUCACACCAUGGGAGUGGGUUGCAAAAGAAGUAGGUAGCUUAACCUUCGGGAGGGCGCUUAACCACCUU
This 1418-nucleotide ribosomal RNA is filed under the name Klebsiella variicola. RNAcentral's name for it is "bacterial SSU rRNA". It matches the Rfam family "Bacterial small subunit ribosomal RNA". Lineage: Bacteria; Pseudomonadati; Pseudomonadota; Gammaproteobacteria; Enterobacterales; Enterobacteriaceae. The record is from RNAcentral.